Octopus sinensis (East Asian common octopus) is the source of this 175-nucleotide long non-coding RNA. RefSeq lists it as uncharacterized. Lineage: Eukaryota; Metazoa; Mollusca; Cephalopoda; Octopoda; Octopodidae. The record is from RefSeq and is a predicted model, not a curated record. The transcript has 3 exons.
UGAUGAUGAUGAUGAUGAUGAUGAUGAUGAUAAUUCUUUCUACUGGAAACACAAGGUCUCAGAUUUGGGGGAAGGGAUUAAGUCGAUGACAUUGACACCAGUGCGUAACUGGUACUUAUUUAAUCGACCCCGAGAGGAUAAAAGUCAAAGUCGACCCCGACGGAAUUUGAACUCA